GAAGAGGGGAACUGGGCGCAGACAUGAGGGAGAAGGCCGUGUGAAGGCGGAGGCGGGGACCGGGUGACACAUCUCCAAGCCGACGAGGGCCGAGGAUUGCCAGCAAAUACCAGAAGCUGGGAGAGGCCUGGAUUCGCCCUCAGAGCCACCAGAACCAACCCUGCAGGCGGCCGCCUGGAUUUCUGGCCUCCGGAACUGAGCGAGCUGGCCUGGAUUGCUCACCGUCUCUUAGAUGGUGUGUCAAGAGGAGACCAACAUGUUGCCUCACAAAGUCCUUAGGAGCCCCGCGCAGAGCCUCGUGAGUCACUCCAGAGUUUUGGGAGAUGAAUGGCCGGUGAGCCGGCUUCUCAGGAAGAUUAGCCACAAGUCGUGGCUGCGCUUGCCGGGCCGGCCGGUGCAGAACUGACUCACGUGGGCCAGGAAGCAGGCAGACAGCCUAACAGCUGGGAAGGCCCCGGGCCCGCUGUCUUCCCAUGUGCGGGGCAGGGGGCGGGGGGGGGGGUGCGUCUCCCCAUUUGGUCAUUUCUGUUUGUUGUUGAAUAAGGUGGACACUAUUUCAAUGGGGACAUUUUAUACAUAGGUAUAUAUCAGUGCAUAUGCUCAUCUCUCUGUCCCUUUCCCCCUCUCUAUAUACGUACACACACACACACACACACACACACAGAGUAUGUAGCUAUACGUUGCAUGCACUAUAGAUACAGUAUAAUGAGUGGGAAGAAACUGAUGGUUUUCAGAUUUUUAAAGCCGGAGAGACUUCUUUAUGGUGAAAUAUCGGCAUACGUAGAAGAAUGUGCAAAGAACCAAAACAGCAGGGCUCCGUGAAGGAUCCCAAAGUCAGAUCUUGUGAAUCCUCUUACCCUGCCAUAACCCACAUCCUCCAGGAAGCCUUCCAGGGUUUCCCCAACCCUGUGCCUCCUCUGUCCUGUGCCCUCAGUGCCCUGAAUCCGUAUCUUGACUCCCAGUCCCCACUCUGUGUGUGUAGAACGGGUAUGUAUUCACAGAAGUUCACAGAAAGCCUCAAGCUUUCUGGACGGCACUUUGUUCCCUUUCUUUCAAAGGGAAAUAUGCUCACACUCCCUGGCUGGGCACUCCCGUUCCUGGAAACUGUCCUCCGGAAAUGCUACCCAGAGUGCUUCAAGAUGAAUGGACCAGAAUGUUCGUUCCAGUGCUGAGCGGAAGCACACAGCACUGCAAGUCGUCUAAACGUCUAUGGACAGUGAGUAAUUUGGGCUUUGGAAGUCACGGCUACUCAGAUUUGCUAUCGUCCUGCAAAAGCAGCCAGGGGCAAUACGUGAGUGAGUGAGCAAGCCAGCCGCUGUGUUCCAAUAAAACUUUAUUCACAAAAGCGGGUGGCGGGCCGGAGCUGGAGCCUGCGGCCCCCAGCGCGGAAACAGAAAAGGGUCCUCACGGUCGGAGGAGGAGGAGGAGGCUGACGGGCUGCCCACUCACCCUGGACGGACCGCAAACCCAGGUACUUUGCCGUCGCACGCGGCCCUUCCCAGGAUCAGAAUGGAUUCCAAAGACUGAUUUCAUGUCAGUUCAUUUUCGCGCAGCCUGACCCCGAAGAGCGGAGGGUCACCGGUAGCUGGAGACACGGGGAGAGCCGGGGCCGGCCAUCCAGCUGGAGGAGCUUCUCCGACGACGGCCUGCCUGCUUCCUCAGCUCCGGGGCUCCUGCACACGCAGCCCCACGGCCCCCACGCACCCCUGCCUCUGCACCUGCUGUCUUUCUCCGAGAAGCUCGCAAGCGCGGUGGCCAAGGUCAGCUCAGAGAUCUAGCGCUCUCACUUCCCAAGAAAGAUGACAAAGGGAAAUCACGCGACGUUCUUUCGGCAAGUUGUGAGGUUGUGGUGGGCGGAGAGGAGAACGGUGGCCGUGCUCACCCCGAGCCGUGCGGCCCUGCCCCGGAGUGGGACGGCGAAUGAACAGACACGGCCACGCAGGGAAUUUGUCCCCUCUGGCCGGAAGGGCCCGAUGCGCUGGAGGUGCGGCCGCUGACCCCGCGUCGUGCCUUCGGCAGCCCUGUGAGUUAGGAUAGGAGUCCCAUUUUGCAGAUGGAGGCACACGAGGCUCCAAGCAACUUUUCGAGAAACAAUACCUUUAAAAUGGCCGAAGGCUGAGGGGCACCUGGGUGGCUCAGUCGGUUAAGCGUCCGACUUGGGCUCCAGUUAUGGUCUCACAGUUCGUGAGAGCCUGUGUCGGGCUC
Long non-coding RNA from Leopardus geoffroyi (Geoffroy's cat), 2205 nucleotides. RefSeq lists it as uncharacterized. The record is from RefSeq and is a predicted model, not a curated record. NCBI's taxonomy places the organism in Eukaryota, Metazoa, Chordata, Mammalia, Carnivora, Felidae. The transcript has 4 exons.